Medicago truncatula (barrel medic) is the source of this 1473-nucleotide long non-coding RNA. RefSeq lists it as uncharacterized. NCBI's taxonomy places the organism in Eukaryota, Viridiplantae, Streptophyta, Magnoliopsida, Fabales, Fabaceae. The record is from RefSeq and is a predicted model, not a curated record. The transcript is spliced from 2 exons.
UAAAAAAACGUCUCAAAUUGGUCUCUUAUGUCUUCUUCCGUUACCUCUUUUGGUCCUCUCUGUUAGUUUUUUAAUGACUAAUAUUUUUUAUAUAAUCUCAACCAUUGGAUUGCAUGUCUAUUGUGUACAACAAUGAGCCACCAACACUUAAUUUUUUCCCUUUCUUCAUCUUCUUUCUUCCAUCACUUCUUCAUAUUCAUAGAAAUUCGUACAAUUUACCAACAAAAAAAAAAUCAGAAAAAAAUCAACAUUCAACCAGCAAAAACGACAUCGUUUUCCUCUUUCUCUUCUCUUCUAUCCCACUACAAAAAAUCUCCAAGAUCCAAUCCUCUCCUUACGCAACAACCACCAUGUCUAGCUCUGUAAUCAUUGUAGGCAUUCAAGCUCUUAGGUUGCAGCACUCGUUAGGAUCUCACCAGACACCUUUGCUGCAAUCGCUGUCUCGGCGCUGCUUGGGGAAUUUACAUCACCAGUUGUAGCUUGAUCGGUGCUGCUACAACAGUGUUUGUUAAGCAAAAUGGAGAUGAGCAUAUGUUAGAAACCAGUCACCACUCACCAGUAAAGUAAUGUAUUUUGUACAUAAUAAUUUUUUUUUUUUGAGUUACAAUUAACCAAUUUGAUAACCAUCAGCAAAACACCUGUUGUUCGAGAGUCUGCCUUCUCCCUAAUAACCAUUAUAUGCUUUUAGUUUAAUAAACCUUCCAAAAAGAAUUGUGUCCUAGAUCACUUGCAGGAAUCCUAACGAGAAAGAAUUGGAGAUGAAAGUGAUGUAGUUGCAAAUUGAUUGAAGAAUUUUGAAAUUUGAGUUUCAACCAAGAGUUUUGCAGCUUUGAGUUUUAUGCUUUCGGGUAUGGGUAUGAGUUAAAGAUGAAGAAGGAGGGUGUUGAUGAUGAUAGAUGAAGAUGACAAUGAUGGUUAUGUGAUGAUUAAAGAGUAGGAAUAAUUAUUUUUAUUUUUUUGGGAUUUUCUGGAUUUUAUUGAUGAAUUUGUUGUUGAAGAUCAUGAAGAGAUGAGGGGAGAAGAAGAUGAAUGGAUUUUAUUAGGUGUGAGUGGUUCACAAUAAAGUACAAUAGACCCCACAUGAUUCAACGGUCUUCUUUUAAUGAAAAAAAUCAAAUGGUUAAAAUUAAAAAAAAUUAAUAAGGCAUAUGGUGGACCACCUUUAAACAUGGUUCACCUUAGACAUUUGAUGUUAAAAACUAACGGAGAGGACCAAAAGAGGAAACGGAAGAAGACAUAAGAGACCAAUUUGAGACGUUUUUUAGUUAGGGGAUCAUUCUAAAAAAAAGAAUUAAGUUAAGGGACUAAACGAUGUAUUGAGCCAAAAAAGUAAAUCAACGAUUUGCUAGCUGAAAUUGUGAGGGUCGAACAUUUUCUCCUUUGAAAUUUGUAAGACCAUCUCCACCAUAGCACUUCAUGUUGAAUGUUUAAGUGGAUCAUACAUGUACACAUCAUAUAUUUUAUAAUUUCUAA